Molecule: long non-coding RNA, 5047 nt
Organism: Cyanistes caeruleus (blue tit)
Lineage: Eukaryota; Metazoa; Chordata; Aves; Passeriformes; Paridae
Source: RefSeq, a predicted model, not a curated record
UCCAAUCCUGGUUCAGGACUGCCAAAGCUCUGGCUCACAGGCUGUUGGCAGCUCGAGCUGCCAGAAAUGAGCAUUUUGCCUUCCCCUUCUGACACAGAGAGGCCUUCUGGGGAGAGUUUUGACAUGAUUAAACACUCGCCUUUCCUGAAAGUGCUCUUAGCUGUGUGCUUCUGAGAUGAUCUCCAGUUCCCCUGUGACCUCUAGGCAUUUGACACAGCUCCAGAGCAGUCACAGCCAACACCUCCGUGGCCCUUUGGACUGCUACGUUACCCAGAAGGAUCAGAGCACAAAGCACAUCCAUCCCCCAGUGCUCCCAUCCAGCUCAUUCCAUGAGAGCAGAAAAAUCAAAAGAUUUGUCUCAGAUAUUUGAGGAGAGACAGUGGGCUCCCCUCCCAAAAUGCACAAGACAUGCAAGAAGAUACAAAGCUCUUCUCAUCAGCCUUAUGCCAACAUUGGGUGAUCAGAUUCUUUUCCUCAGCUCUAAAGAUGUACAGUACCUCAAAAUGUGCUGGUUUGAUGGAAGAACUGUGAUUUUGUUUUUUUUUGUGAAUUUUCCCACACUCAAGGUAAUGGAAGAAAAGACAUCAAUAGAUACAAAAACAGCUGUGUAGCCUGAAUGUUCCAAUAAAUGGGGUGGGAUGGAAAAGCCUAGACCAGAAAACUUUGCACUCCAUUAAUUGGCCAGUUUGAGAUAACCCAAUCUAUACCCACCCCCAGACAUUGUGAAUCCAUCACAGCCAUAAACUACAGCAGCUCUCCUUUAUAUUUUUAGUAAAAAAGCAGCACCUUAGCUCUAAAAUUAUCUUGCUGAAACUCUUCUGUUUAGCAGAAUGAAUCAGUUCAGACUGGAGUUUUGCAAAGUUCUACUCCAAAACCAUGGAAUUAUUUUUAUAUAUAAUUAUAUUUUUGCAUGGAUUCAGCAUCAAACUUUGCUGCAACAUUAAUAAGCAUUAACACCUCAAGAGAAAACCUGCUGCUGUUCAGUGUGAAGAGGGAUUUCAUUAUGGAUAAUGAUCUCAGUGCUCAUAUUGAGACAGAAUCAGGUACCCAUUUGUAAGGAAGAGGCUCUGAAAAGGUUCAAAAUCAUCUCCGAAUCCUGCAUUCAGUACAGAGGCUUCUAGAGGGCAGUGGUUUAUUUCACUAUCAUUUCAAAACUGACAUUUCAAUUAAAAACAAAAGAUACCUCCAACCAGGACUGAGACUGCUCUGGAAAGUGGUAUUGUAGGAGAUACAAUGGACAGCAUGACAGAUUGUCCCAGACUGUGGGCUAUAUGGAUAAUGCAGCUGAUGAAAGGAGAAAUGUAGAAAUCCUCAGCCUUUGCUUUUCAAAAUGAAUCCUCCAUGCUAUCAAGUGUGGUGAAGAAAAACAGCACCAGGUAAGUCUGAUGUACCCAUUGUUGUUGAAUCACUACUGUCAUAGAACUAAAAUUACAUGAUUUUACUUCCAAAUCUGCAACAGAGUCAGUAAUGCCUAUUCCUGACUUAUUUUACCGGAGUUCAUCAUCUAAGUGCCUAUUUGGAUUAUUUCUGUUCCCUUCUUUGUAUGCUUCUUAUCAUAAAUUAAGUCUAAAUUAAUUAAGAUUUGAAGUAUGAACAGGCAAGCUAGGAUUAAAUCCCCCCCCAAACGAAAGACCAGCAUACAACACACUACUUUAAUCCUGAUUUAUGAAUUAUUAUUUACAGAAAGUGUUCAAAAUGGCAUGUACAACUCAUCCACAUCUCAGGCUAGGCUUCAAUUCCUCCCAGUAAAUAAGGCUCAAAGAAUGCACAGUUGCUGCUGAUUUCAUUGGACACUUCAGUGUUUCACACUGUUGUUUAGCAAACAAUUUGGCUGAAAGCUGGAAUUACUCUCUAUGUUCUGAAGUACAUUAUUUCUAAAAGUUGAAGUUUUCAGCAGCUCAGUUAGAAAUUACUCAUGACUCAGGCUACUCCCCAUGGGUUCACACACUGGCAUCAGUACCUGCAUGGCAGGUUAUGUGCCUGGAUCUGCACCAUGGAUUUCAGAGUCCUCUGCAGUGUAUGUACUGUUUGGCUUAAGAAAAGGGCCUUUAGAUUUUUGCUUCCUGAUAAACUCACACUUGAUCAGUGUGAAAUAGCAGGGCUUAACAUCCUUACACCCCUCUGUGGCAGCAAAGUUUAACCUCUGCAAUGGUGAUGCCUCUGGUCAAUGGCUGUGCUGCUCACCUGGGUUAAUGCAGCUGGCUGACCUUGAGCCUCACAGUGAACUGAAGAACUCUUCCAUUCUCCUUAAUAAAUUGCCUUCAUUCAUUUUUCAUUUCACCUUUUGGUACUUCUUCUGUGAUAAAGUUUCCACCAGGUUUGCCAGCUCGCUUGCCUUAGUGCAUCACCUUAAGCUCUUAUGAAAUGAACGGUGGGUUCUUUGUUCUUUUUUUUCCUUCCUAAGAACUUCAAAGUAAAAGUUCAACAUCUUGCAGUACCUGAAGUUGACUUGGUGAUACUCAUUUUAGGUUUUUUUUUGCUUGAGGACUCUUUUCACUGCAGAGCUAAUGCAAACAACCAGGAUGAACUGAAGUAAGUUAAGCACAGAUAUGACCUCCACUUUUACAUUUAGCAGAUUUUUUUCUGGUAACUGUCACAUUAACAGAUUUUUGCUGGUGACCAACAAACCCAGCUAAUUAGGACUUCCAAGAACAUGUCCCACAUACUUAAGCAAAAGAUGGUAGUGGUAAUUCUUAAAAAGGUGGUUGACUAAAGACCCAAAGUAAUUUUUUUGUGAAAUUCAGCACUGAACACAGUCUAAAUAACUGGGGUGCCUUGUUUCAGUCUGUCAGAACUGAGAAUAUUGGGUAGUCCAACUAGGAAGACAUAAGGGAUUUUUUGUCUCUUAGUGGCAGAUUUUCCAAAAAUUUUCCAUCUUUUGCCAAAAUCACAUAUUUUCACAGAGCAUGCAGCAAGUAUCACUUUUAUAAGAAAGGUGUGGACCCUUGACCACUGGCUGAAAUACCUGGGAGCAACCUCAUAGACCACCAAAAUGUCAAAGCCCAGUUUGUCUUUGCAGUCUCACUGCUCUGACCCUGGUGACAACUCUGAUGCAAUUCUGUAGAAAAUGGAUAGGUUUUCCUGUGAGACCUACACCAGUUGGAAAAGUUCUAAUGAAAUCUUUACUCAUUAUUAGCAACUUCUACCCAUUUCUAGUCAAGCAGCAAGUCAGAGUUGAUACCAGACUAAUUAAUAAAUAUAUAUAAAGGUACCUCAUGAUGUUGAGAUAAAACUAAAUUCCCCUGCAGAGGAUGGCAGCCAACAGAGGCUCUCCAGUUAAGUUUUGACUACAGGUUCAUGAAGAAAAUUGACCUUCAGAGAGGAAAAGCAGAGUUCAGAAGGAUGAAGCUGUGUGUGUUGUGAGGUUUGACUCCUGUCAGCUCUGCAUCUUCACUAGACAGAAGUCACUGUGAUGGAGUUUCUAUCAUCUCUGACCAUGCUAGGUCUCCUGACCAUAAGAAGAUGACUUUAGGCUACAGAAUUAUCAUACUAACAUGCUCUGCAAUUAUCUCAUAAGCCAGGAGAUAUCCAGCAAUUAAACAACAAAUUAAAAGGUAAUUUAUAGCCCUUUGUAGAUAACUAAGUAUAUAGAAUAAAACUGAAAGCAAGUUAGCCAGGUCAUCUAUCACUCUUCCAAGAUAUUGUAAACCUUACAAUAUCUUAAAAAAAUAAAGAAAAAAAUUAAAAUGCUGUGAUGAAAAUGAAGGGGAAUCCACACAUGCAAACUUCAUCGUGCAAAGCUUCAUAAAAUCAGAGGAGGACUCUGGAGCCACUGGAAGUAAUACAUGUGGGAAUAGUUUACUAUUGAUGGGGCUGAUAGUGCCACUGAUAUGUAAUGCUUCGUAAUUCUUUCCCUGUUUACGCCCUGUUUUUAAGUCAGUGUGGCUGGACUUUAAAAAGGGAGCUUUUCAACACUGGUGUCUUCUUUAUUCAUCCAAAGGACUUCAGAUACCCAAAGAUUUAUCUUGCAAUGCACUCAGCCACUGAAGUCACGGAUUCCCCCAGGCUACAUCUUAAAACAAAAGCUUGAAAGUGAACAAAAUUCAAGGAAAUGACCCAAUUUCCCCAGAAUCAACAGCAAGCUAAGAAUAGCCUCCUGAACUCCUCAAUGUCAGCUUAGUCAAACCAUUGUCAAAUGAAAAUACAUUUGUUUUCAAGUGUUCAGAACUCCAUCGUCAGGGGGUACACUCUCCUACAGGUGAUUAUGUGAAUAUAUAUACAAGAACAACAUUCUUGUACACAGUAUUCUACAGGCACACUUCCAAACACAUUCCACCAGCCCACCUGUCACGCUCUGCUUGGAAAAUCUGGCCUUCAGUCUGGUUUUUUUGUUGUUGUUGUUUUGUUUGUUUUUUUUAAAUAAAGUAUACUUGAUUACCAUCCCCAUGAGUCACCCAGUCCAGUCUUGACAAGUUAAUUGUUAAGUGGGGUCAGGCAGCAGAGCGUUCUUUGGUCACAUCCUUGCAGGGACUUGGAGAGCUCGGUCUCCUCCCUGGCUGGCAGGGGAGGAGGGAAUGCCAGGCUGGCUGAGCUGCCGGCCGGGUUUUUAUAGCGGGGCUAUUUUUAGCUGUUAUCAGCCGCGGGUGCGGGGCCAAUCCGCACAGAAACUGCUCCGGCCAAACUUCACUGGCAGCAAUCUCCCAGGGAGGAGCCGAGUGACUGAACCUGCUGCUCCCAACCGGGCUCCUGCAAGGCGCCAGCACACCCAGGACACGCGUUGGGACCAUGAGGAAAUUAUUGAUUCAACAGAUAAGCAUCCUGCCUGUAUUUGGUGAAAAUUAGUGAAUUUAAAGCGCCUCCUGAAGUCAAAUAAGUGAGGCAAUCAUUCAGUAUGAUAUACAUAUAAAUCAAUCUCUGGUGUUUUUACGAAGGUGGUGGUUUUUAUCACCGUGUAACUAUGUACUGUGUAACUGGAAACUACUUGCUGUGAUUAUUUACAAAUCCAUGUGCUCACCAAAGAAGGAUAGAUCGGUGCCUUUUCAAAACAGGCCACAUGGUGUAUAACAGAUUCUUGACACUGGACCCUUGUCCAGUAUAUUCUUUUAGU